Molecule: long non-coding RNA, 1833 nt
Filed under: Triticum aestivum (bread wheat)
Lineage: Eukaryota; Viridiplantae; Streptophyta; Magnoliopsida; Poales; Poaceae
Description: long non-coding RNA (TAES_LNC021789)
Source: RNAcentral
ACAUUGUUUAUCCCAAACCGUUUGGAACCCAUACAGCAGCAGCACUAUUUCUGCAGAAAUUAUCAAAGCCGACAGUUUUAGCAUGUCUGCGUCUCACACUCGAGAUUUAUAUAUUUAUAUUCAUUACUGCUAGCAAACAAAGAAACUAUCGUACCUAAUAAAGCAAGGAUCAGGAAUGGUCUAUUAAACCAACAAACUGAACAGAUCUUUUAAAACCACUCCUAGAGAGCACGAGCAGCAGAGGUCAAAUAUAUUUCGAGCCCAAAGCACUCAACCUUAGCAUGCUAGCAUCAGAAACUAAUGUAGAGAAGAACAACUGCCAUUAAAUGUUCUGCAAAUCUAGUAGAUCAUCAAUUGGACAGAUAUAAUGAGAAGACAUUUGUGACAAAGAGAAAGAAAGCUUUCGAUGAACAGCACCACAGGGAGGUGCCUCGCUACUGGUUGUACCGAGCUUUUGACGGACAGGACAACGGGGAGGCAUGGCUCUACUGGUAGGACAUAAGCAAUGGGAGGUCCGUCGGCAAGAAGCACGCAGCACACCGAAACAAAAAUACUAACUGGAGAAAUCUUGACGAUUUAAAAAUAAAUAAACUGCUGCAACAAAAGAAGCUUAUAAUCAAUCGAGUUGCGGACUUGUUUAUAUGAAGAAGGAUCACCAAAGGAAAUAGUAGAUCAAGAAAGAAAACCAAAAAACACAUUAGAAAGUAAACAUGGGGCGAAAUGAAUAAAGUAAAACCAAGACAGAGGUCACCCAAGGCAGAACAUCAAACAGUGCGAGAAAGGAACAUCAAAGAAACACUAAAGAGAGAAAACAACGAAGAGGAAAAAAGUCCAUGCAAAUAUAAAAAGAAGCCAUGCCCAUGGCCUCCAAAAAACUGAUCAAGAAGCGGAAAAAACAGUACACCGAUCAACCAAUGCAUUUUUCAGAUUUAGAACAUACCUAGGAACUUUUUUUUUUGAGAAACUGAACAUACUUAGGAACUACCCCAUUCGGCUACCAUUGGUGAAGUAUCUUGAUUCUUUCUAUAACAUAGUACGGUAAAAGGAAAGGCACAGACACAGUUUACACCCACAACCCCGAAACAAUAUCAACCAUGACCCAUAGAAUAAAGGUAAAACCUUGUAAAUUCUUAAUAAAAACUACACCCAUUGGGCUUAUAAUCAAGCAAGGUACUCCCUCUGUAAAGAAAUAUAAAAGCGUUUGGAUCACUAUUUUAGUGAUGUAGACACUCUUAUAUUUCUUUACGGAGGGAGUAACAUAUAUCUUUUCUUAGAUAAUACCUCAAACAGAACAUUAUAUGUACAUCUCACACUACAGGGAAAAAGACCAUACUAUACACCUACAUAUGACCAGAUUAGAAAGUCCACCAUGCCGCAAAAAUAUUUAGCACCCAUUUAAAUAUGGAUUUGGGUUCAUACCUACACAAAGCACAGUAAUUAUUGUGAAGAUAGAAAAAAAUGCUCCCACCAUCAAAAAUAUACGCCGACAACAGCAUCAUCCAAUUAGAGCUCGAAAACAGGAACAAGGAAGGCACCUAUAGCUGUUCAUGGAGCUGUGUCUGAACCUCUAUUUGCAUAUGUAUAGCUUCUGCCAAGUUCCUAAGAAAAGGAGAAGGGAACAAAUGUAAAUUUGUAAGGUCAUGGUAUUACUAUGCAUGCAUUGUAGUAUAAUAAUUCAGAGAUAUUACUUGUUUGUUAACGGAUCACUUCCACUCCUAACCCCAGUCUCCAACACGAGGAGUUAGAGGAAACAUUUGUUCCCAACUUGAUCACAAUAGUUUACGCGCAGCCAACCUUCACUGAAUUUGUCAGUUCCCAUCUCCCCGAAUUUGU